GUAAAUAUAGUUUAUCCAAAACACUAGACUG
This 31-nucleotide transfer RNA is filed under the name Podarcis vaucheri. Its description in RNAcentral is "partial tRNA-His". Lineage: Eukaryota; Metazoa; Chordata; Lepidosauria; Squamata; Lacertidae. The record is from RNAcentral.